Molecule: unclassified non-coding RNA, 177 nt
Filed under: soil metagenome
Description: partial internal transcribed spacer 1
Source: RNAcentral
CAAUGUAUUGUCGGGGGCUGGUUGGAAUGGCGCAUCUGCGCUGUACUUGCCGGCCCUGUCUGCACAUUACCCCUGUUUUUUGCGUACCUACCUGUUUCCUCGGCAGGCUUGCCUGCCAGUGGACCUCUUAUAAACCUUUUUGUACUUGCAAUCAGCGUCAGAAAAUUUGAAUGGUUA